AUGGAGGACAAUUUCCACCUGUUUGUACGAUUCCCACUGGCUCAAGAGUUAUACCGUGCCUUAUCUUCAGUUUGGAACCUCCCUAGUCUGAAUGGUAUUUUAAACACUGGGCGAGAGUGGCUUCUUCAGAUCCUUGAGCCUCUUGAUGAUAUUCAGAAAUGUAUGCUUUUGAUGACAUUUUGGAGGAGCUGGUAUGUGAGGAAUGAAUUAGUACAUAACAAACCUGCACCUCCGGUGGUGGUGUCCUGCAGAUUUCUUCAGAGUUAUCUUGACUCCUUGAUUGGGAUUAAGCUGAACUCCAACACUGAUCCGCACAAAGGAAAAGCAGUAAUGACAUAUUAUGCUCCCGGCAACUCAAACAGCGAGUCCGUGGACGAAGCAACGACGGGGUGGUGUACUCCUGCAAGUGGCUGGGUAAAACUAAAUUCUGACAGAGCUUUUGUCUCGGAGGGGGAGGCUGGUGCAGGGGUGAUGUUGAGAGAUGAGUUGGGAACUAUCAUCUUCUCAGCUUGUAGGAAGUUGUACUCUUGUCGGGACGCGCUUGAAGCAGAACUUUGCGCAUGUAUGCAAGGACUCUCGCUGGCUCUACAGAUGAGUGAUCUGCCUAUCAAUAUCGGGUUGGAUUCUUCCAUUGCAGUCUCGCUCAUACAGUGCAAAGGGGAGGAUAGAUCUAUUUAUGCGUCUAUUGUUAGAGAAAUUAAGUACCUUAAAGGUCUUCGUUUAUUUGUAUUGCUCAUGUUUCUCGCUGUCAGAAUAAAGCUAGUGAUAGUUUGGCUAGAUUUGCUAGAACUGAGAAUAGGACCAUGA
Molecule: ribosomal RNA, 807 nt
Filed under: Triticum aestivum (bread wheat)
Lineage: Eukaryota; Viridiplantae; Streptophyta; Magnoliopsida; Poales; Poaceae
Description: partial small subunit ribosomal RNA
Source: RNAcentral